RNAcentral lists this long non-coding RNA (201 nucleotides) under Mytilus galloprovincialis (Mediterranean mussel). Lineage: Eukaryota; Metazoa; Mollusca; Bivalvia; Mytilida; Mytilidae. The record is from RNAcentral.
UAUUAGAAUAUUGGAUGAAGUCAACUAAGCCUGAGCAUAUAAAAAUCAGUUAUAAGUUUAAUUUGAUAAUCAGAUGACUGUGUGAUCUAUUAAAGUCAGUGGCAUAUACUUCAGUGUUAAAAUAAUUCAGUUUCAAAGCUGGUAAAAACAGCUAAAAGGAACAGUUUCAGUUUCAUUUCAAAAUUUCGAAUCGUGUAUAAA